This 1431-nucleotide unclassified non-coding RNA is filed under the name Hevea brasiliensis (rubber tree). The record is from RNAcentral. Lineage: Eukaryota; Viridiplantae; Streptophyta; Magnoliopsida; Malpighiales; Euphorbiaceae.
UGUAAUAUCCAUCACAAGAGGCAUUAGCGGUAACAGCAGGUCCCGCACUAGUGCCAGAAAAGGAGGAAGAAUUUUUGACAUACUCGUUGAAAAAACUAUGGAGACUGUCAACAAUCCUAUCAAUAUGCUGCUGAGCAUCACUACUGUAAAGUUUAGUAUAACAGUACUCGAUGAACUUGAUCUUGUACAGUGGAUCCAAUAUUGCAGCACAUGACAACAUCAGGCUACAUGCUGACCAAUAUUCAGUAAAUUUCAAUAGCAUUUCAUUGACCAUAUAUGUCAUGAAAUUUUCUGGGCCUGUCACUACUUCCAACAAGUGCCUAUGAAUCUUCCACACCCCCUUGAAAUACAAAUUAGCAGUCAGAUACCUAUUUCCUGAAAACAUGUGCGCUACCACGUAAAAGACCUUCAAAAAUUUGCACAAGCUACUAACUUUUUCCUACUCAUAUUCUGAUAGUGUGUAUGCAAAAUUUCUAUCCUGUUCUCCCAAGCAAAGAAAUGCCCUCUUAUACUGAAAAGCAAUUUCAAGCAUGUGAUAUACAGAAUCCCACCUAGCAGGAUAAUCUAGGCACAACUUUUCCCUAGCAUCCAAAUUCAAAAUUUUAGCAAUGAUAUAAAAGUUUUUCUUCCUAUGUGGUGACUGUUUCACAUACUUGAUACCAAGACACAGUUUUGCAAUGAUUUCUCUGAUAAGAUCCAAACCAGCUUCUACAAUUGAAUUCAUAAUUUGAGCAAAACAGCGCACAUUAAAGAACAUACCAUUACAGGGAAUAUACUUCUUUGCAUCAAGACGUGAUUUAAGUAUGGAAGCCACACAAUUAUCAACUGACAAGCUGUCCAAUGUGAUGCUAAAAACUUUGUGUUCAAUAUUCCAUUGGACCAUGCACGAAGUUAUCUGAUCUCCAAUAGACAAACUAUCAUAUGGGGGUGGUAUAAGUUUGAAUUGCAAAAUCUUCUUUGCAACUUCCACUCAUGGUCCGUGAAGUAUGCAGUGACACAAUUAUAAUGAUCAUCAGUAUUGGAUUUCCACCUACAAGAUGUUAAGCAAAUUCGACCAGGGCAUUUUGCCAACAAUGCACAAACAUUUUCCUUUUCUUUGACAUAUAUGGACAUUAUAUCCUUUUUAAUAUUUCUCACAUUCAUCACUGGUAAGUCAGGGAGUGCAACAGCCAUUACAUGUCUAAAACCUACAUUUUCAACCAUCCUCAAUGUUUUCCAUCAAGGACAACCAUCAUUGCGAGUGCUCUAUGAAUCUCACCCAAAUCAAAUUUAUGAUUCUUUAAGGAUUUAGUCCUAGCUGGCAAAGUCACAGGAGAAAAUGCAUGUUCUUUUAUGUCAUGGUUAUCUCUUUUAACGCAUGCUUUCAUGUGCCGUUUUAAAUGAGAAGUACCACCUUUAGCUGUUAAAGCUUUCUUACAGAACUUACAUAUG